RNAcentral lists this long non-coding RNA (349 nucleotides) under Sorghum bicolor (sorghum). Its description in RNAcentral is "long non-coding RNA (SBIC_LNC017828)". The record is from RNAcentral. Lineage: Eukaryota; Viridiplantae; Streptophyta; Magnoliopsida; Poales; Poaceae.
UUGGAACAAAAAGGUGUCAUUUCACUACACCACAACCUCAGAACAACGUUGGACGGUCUGUCGGUAUAAGACGUUUUACCGUCAGACACGCCAUCGAUGUAGAGAUAUACCGUCAGAUUAAGUUAGUCGCUAUAAGCCCUGUCGGUAAAAGUUUUACCGACAGACUACCCUUUCAACGACAGAUAGUCUGACGGAGAGAAAAUCACCGACAGACAGUCCGAUGGAGAGAAAAUCACCGACAGACAGUGUGUUACCAGUUAUGCCGACACACCGUGCGAUGUUAUAAUUAUAUUUACCGACAGAUUGUCCAACAGAAAGUUUAAAACUAAAUAAAAAAAUAAAAUGCAGC